GCCUGACGCAGCGACGCCGCGUGCGGGAUGAAGGCCUUCGGGUCGUAAACCGCUGUCGGGAGGGACGAAAUCAAUGACGGUACCUCCAAAGGAAGCACCGGCUAACUCUGUGCCAGCAGCCGCGGUAAUACAGAGGGUGCGAGCGUUGUCCGGAAUCACUGGGCGUAAAGGGCGCGUAGGCGGCCUGAUAAGUAGGGGGUGAAAUCCUGCGGCUCAACCGCAGGGCUGCCUUCUAGACUGUCAGGCUUGAGCACAGUAGAGGCAGGUGGAAUUCCCGGUGUAGCGGUGGAAUGCGUAGAGAUCGGGAAGAACAUCGGUGGCGAAGGCGGCCUGCUGGGCUGUUGCUGACGCUGAGGCGCGACAGCGUGGGGAGCAAACAGGAUUAGAUACCCUGGUAGUCCACGCCGUAAACGAUGGGUACUAGGCGUCGGGGGGAGCGACCCCCUCGGUGCCGUCGUUAACACAGUAAGUACCCCGCCUGGGGAGUACGGCCGCAAGGCUG
This 502-nucleotide ribosomal RNA is filed under the name uncultured bacterium. Its description in RNAcentral is "bacterial SSU rRNA". It matches the Rfam family "Bacterial small subunit ribosomal RNA", at positions 381 to 896 of the family's 1533-position model. The record is from RNAcentral.